AAAACACAAUUGAUGUAUGAAUUGAUCCAUUCAUCCAGAAAAGACAAAAACAUAUUUAUUUUGCCCUCAAGGGAUAGUGUUACACUGGCGUCUGUAGCACAAAAUAAUACAUUUGUAAUGUGACUGGAAUACCUAGAAUAUAUUAAAGUCCAGUAGCCUUUUUUUCUGUUACAGCAUACAUGCUCUGUAAAGUGCUUGUCCUGUGUUCUCCUUUGAGAACAAUCAUCAAUUUUUAUGUUGUAUAUUUUGGCUUCAUAAAGGUUAUUUUGUAUAAAUUUGAUGGAAUACCAGGGACUAUGUAGAUAGAGACCUUGUUUCAAUACAACCAAUCGAAUUUUAUAUAAAGCCGUAAUGUCAGCGUUCUAUCACUGGCAGAGCAGACGGUCACACUGAGCCAGACAGCAGCUAAACAACACAAGAGCCACAGACUUUGAACAACAACCCCCAUUAACUUUCCUAUUAAAGUCUCCCCCUUAUCUAACUGACAAACCUAAACACGCGUCUUGUCCUGUACCUUGCCUUGUCGAAUGAGCAACCGAAACAAACAUUCACAGGGAGAAGGUGCGCUGCUGACGUCAGUUUGCUGCUCAGCUACAGCACAUUAAACAGCAUGUAAAACGGACCUGAGGUGCUAGUGUGGACCUUCAUUCUUCAAUACCACUAACAACACGACAUCUCUCCAUGACACAAUUCAAAGCGCAAUUAUCUUCAUUUGCCACAGCUAUGAAUGGGGAACCUGAGUCUCUGCUACUUCCAGUUCCUGAAUAUGGAACAAGAUUGGUGUCGAAAACCUGUCUUGCAGCUCGCUCAUGCGUGAGGAGGAGUUGUAUGAAUGUUCUGGUAAGGGGAAAGAAGGAGAUGACAGAUGAUGGAGCAUGAGGGAAGCAAAUCCAACCAUGGAUGUCACCUGUGAGGAAAUCACACAGCAGGGACAUAAAAGGGAUGGUUGCACCGUGCCGAAAUAUUUUUCUCACAUUGUAAGGGCAAAUGUCAGAUAAGAAACAGGAAUGGUAUAGACAAGAAUGUUUACACUAGCAAUCCAAGCGGUGGAGAGGAUUCACAUUUUACGUUGUAUGCUUUGUAGAAUAGCUCCUUUAAUAAUUUACAUGAAUCUUAGCAGUAUAUUGAGACAUUUGUCUUUAUUCUACUACUUCUUCUUUAAUGUUCCUCCUGCUAUAAUGUAAUGUAUAAUCCUUUAAUAUUGCCGCUGCUUUGUUGAAACUGGGGGUGUAUGGUAUGAGUUUUGAUGGGUCAUCAUUCACUCGGCUGCAGUGGAAAUUAUACAUUAGACAGAACAGUAAAAUUCGGUAGUAACAGAAUUCCAGUGGAUUUUUCAAGGGAAACUGAAACGCACUGGUUGAUGGAUUUACUUAACUUUGGCUUUGGAUUUUUGCAGGUGUUACGCUGCACAGAAUAAAUUACUAUGGUGAUUGCA
This is a long non-coding RNA of Dicentrarchus labrax (European seabass), 1435 nucleotides long. RefSeq lists it as uncharacterized. The transcript is spliced from 3 exons. The record is from RefSeq and is a predicted model, not a curated record. Lineage: Eukaryota; Metazoa; Chordata; Actinopteri; Moronidae.